This 397-nucleotide ribosomal RNA is filed under the name uncultured bacterium. RNAcentral's name for it is "partial 16S ribosomal RNA". It matches the Rfam family "Bacterial small subunit ribosomal RNA", at positions 523 to 918 of the family's 1533-position model. The record is from RNAcentral.
AUACGUAGGUGACAAGCGUUAUCCGGAUUUACUGGGCGUAAAGGGCGUGUAGGCGGUCUUGCAAGUCGGAAGUGAAAUUCCUGAGCUCAACUCGGGCGCUGCUUCUGAAACUGCAGGACUUGAGUGCUGGAGGGGAUAGCGGAAUUCCUAGUGGAGCGGUAAAAUGCGCAGAUAUUAGGAAGAACACCGGUGGCGAAGGCGGAUAUCUGGACAAUAACGGACGCUGGGGCUCGAUAGCGUGGAGAGUAAACAGGUUGAGAUCCCCGGGAUGUCCACGCCGUAAACGAGGAAUACUAGGUGUAGGUGGUAUCGACUCCCUCUGUGCCGCAGGUAAAACAAUAAGGAUCCCGCCUGGGGAGUAAGGCCUCAAGGUUGAAGCUCAAAGGAAUGUAUGGGG